UGGGGAAUAUUGCACAAUGGGCGCAAGCCUGAUGCAGCCAUGCCGCGUGUGUGAAGAAGGCCUUCGGGUUGUAAAGCACUUUCAGCGAGGAGGAAGGUGGUGGACUUAAUNCGUUCAUCAAUUGACGUUACUCGCAGAAGAAGCACCGGCUAACUCCGUGCCAGCAGCCGCGGUAAUACGGAGGGUGCAAGCGUUAAUCGGAAUACUGGGCGUAAAGCGCACGCAGGCGGUUUGUUAAGUCAGAUGUGAAAUCCCCGGGGCUCAACCUGGGAACUGCAUUUGAAACUGGCAAGCUAGAGUCUCGUAGAGGGGGGCUAGAAUUUCCAGGUGUAGCGGUGAAAUGCGUAGAGAUCUGGAGGAAUACCGGUGGCGAAGGCGGCCCCCUGGANGAAGACUGACGCU
RNAcentral lists this ribosomal RNA (402 nucleotides) under uncultured bacterium. Its description in RNAcentral is "partial 16S ribosomal RNA". It matches the Rfam family "Bacterial small subunit ribosomal RNA", at positions 355 to 747 of the family's 1533-position model. The record is from RNAcentral.